AAAAGGAAGCGAUUCCGGCGGAGGAUGGGCAUGCGGCGCAUUAGCUUGUUGGCGGGGUAACGGCCCACCAAGGCGACGAUGCGUAGGGGUUCUGAGAGGAAGGUCCCCCACACUGGUACUGAGACACGGACCAGACUCCUACGGGAGGCAGCAGUGAGGAAUAUUGGUCAAUGGGCGGGAGCCUGAACCAGCCAAGUCGCGUGAGGGAAGACGGUCCUAUGGAUUGUAAACCUCUUUAGGCGGGGAGCAAUGCCGGGCACGCGUGCCCGGAGGGAGAGUACCCGCAGAAUAAGCAUCGGCUAACUCCGUGCCAGCAGCCGCGGUAAUACGGAGGAUGCGAGCGUUAUCCGGAUUUAUUGGGUUUAAAGGGUGCGUAGGCGGAUUUUUAAGUCAGCGGUAAAAUGUCCGGGCUCAACCCGGGCCGGCCGUUGAAACUGGGGAUCUUGAGUGGGCGAGAAGUAUGCGGAAUGCGUGGUGUAGCGGUGAAAUGCAUAGAUAUCACGCAGAACUCCGAUUGCGAAGGCAGCAUACCGGCGCCCGACUGACGCUGAGGCACGAAAGCGUGGGGAUCGAACAGGAUUAGAUACCCUGGUAGUCCACGCAGUAAACGAUGAAUGCUAGUUGUCCGGUUCUUUGGGACUGG
RNAcentral lists this ribosomal RNA (643 nucleotides) under uncultured bacterium. Its description in RNAcentral is "bacterial SSU rRNA". It matches the Rfam family "Bacterial small subunit ribosomal RNA", at positions 202 to 842 of the family's 1533-position model. The record is from RNAcentral.